This is a long non-coding RNA of Gallus gallus (chicken), 1514 nucleotides long. The record is from Ensembl. Lineage: Eukaryota; Metazoa; Chordata; Aves; Galliformes; Phasianidae.
UUUGUUUGUUUUUUUACUGUGCUUUCCCUAUGGAAUACACAACAUAUGACAAAGCUUUUCAGCAAUAUCCUUUGACUGUUUGGCAUGCUUAGCUUAGUUGCCUGCCUUAAACUGUUACUACUGCUUGCUUUUAAUCUUUUCCAGCCAAAAAUUGCUCCUCUCACCUCCUAGUUAUCAGUUCUCCACAGAAUUUGUUCUUGCUUCUGUUCCUCGGACAAAUUCCAGAAGAUAAGUGAGGUGAGCAGGCACAAUGAAGGUGUUAUCAAACUCUGCAUGUGUAUUUCCAAGAGGGACAGUGUGGCUUCAGCUGAAAAUGCGAGUAUUCUGAGAGCUUUCCCUGCCUUAGGCCUGCCACAGCUCAAAUCCUUGGAUCUCUGAUGGGACUAAAUUACCAUACCUAUAGGAAUAUUUCUGUGAAGAAUACCUCGUGCUGCACUGCAAGCUGUCUGCUAUCAGUGCUCUCUGGAAGACAGCACACAGAACUAGAACUACAAAGGAUAACCACAAAACCAUCUCUUGUUCUACUUGGAAGUAACAAAAAUGAGAUAACUGUGGCUAAUUAUGGAGAGAGAUACUCCCCAAAUCUGGAUUUACGUAAUUCUGUCUCCAUUCACUGUACCAGUCUGGCUUGUGUUGAAGGGGGCUGAAACAGAAGAUGGGCCUGAACUUGGCAGAGCAACUCAGUUCAGCAUUAAUGAAAAGGAAACAUGCAUAAGAAGAGGCUUCUUGGUGUCCAGAAAUACAGACACAGGACCAAACCCCUGCCCAGCACUGCAACUGCACUUCUGCUGUUAGUUUUUGCAACUAAACUGGAAAAAAAAUUUGACAUUCACUCCGGAAAGAAAGGAAACUCAACAGAUUCUUACACAAUUUAAGGUUGAAAUCAAAUCCAAAAAUGUCUCAUAAUUUUGCCUUUCCCAUUUAUGCAUUAUGUUCUUCUCGUUCAAAUUUAACCUUCAUGGUACAUUCAGAGCAAAUAAUUCAACUUAUGUUAAAACAGCAUGGUUUUGGUUGGGUCUUUUUUUUUUUUUCUGAGUUAAUAGUGCAAAAAUUUCCCCAAAAAUUUUCAGGUUUCCUUUGAAAAGAAGAGCUUCUGGUCUAUGACUUAUUUCAUUUUACACCUUAAGAAAUUAUGUAAAUAAAAAAAAUAAUAAUAAUGUCAUGAAUGUGAUAGUGCUGAAAUAAAUCUUGUAAUACCAUCUACACACCACUGAAAUACACCUUCAGAGGAUUAUUGCGUGGCAACUUGAGACACUGCAAGGGAUCCACACACCAAAAGCUGCUCUGAAGUGAGGCAUUCUGAAUCUGCAGAAGGAAAAAUAAUGGGGGAAAUGUAUUUGUGUUAACAGCCCUUUAGAUAGAGACAUUUUUAGGGAAAAAAAAACCACACAACCCAAUACAAAAUAGAGAGAAACAGAAAUAGUUGCUCCUGUAACACUGUCAGAAAUAUAUAAUGUUCAUUACGCAGUAUGGAUAUAUAAUAAGGCAUUGAAUUGAACAAGAUUAAAAUAAAU